RNAcentral lists this ribosomal RNA (367 nucleotides) under uncultured bacterium. Its description in RNAcentral is "bacterial SSU rRNA". It matches the Rfam family "Bacterial small subunit ribosomal RNA", at positions 527 to 896 of the family's 1533-position model. The record is from RNAcentral.
GGAGGAUCCGAGCGUUAUCCGGAUUUAUUGGGUUUAAAGGGAGCGUAGGUGGACUGGUGAGUCAGUUGUGAAAGUUUGCGGCUCAACCGUAAAAUUGCAGUUGAUACUGUCAGUCUUGAGUACAGUAGAGGUGGGCGGAAUUCGUGGUGUAGCGGUGAAAUGCUUAGAAAUCACGAAGAACUCCGAUUGCGAAGGCAGCUCACUGGACUGCAACUGACACUGAUGCUCGAAAGUGUGGGUAUCAAACAGGAUUAGAUACCCUGGUAGUCCACACAGUAAACGAUGAAUACUCGCUGUUUGCGAUAUACAGUAAGCGGCCAAGCGGAAGCAUUAAGUAUUCCACCUGGGGAGUACGCCGGCAACGGUG